ACGAAGAAACAAAAAGAGAUGCAAAUAUAGAACUUCAUUAUUACAAAGCACAUGAGGCACAAACACUGAACAAGUCAUUCUUCAUUGGUUUUUGUUUUUGACUGUAACAUUAACCCUUACCACAACACAUCUACCAUAUUCUUUUAGGUAAUGUACCAACAGUGAGUGGCUGGCAGUGAGUUACUGUGUUAUACAGACUAGCCUCUCAGUAAGCAUAAGAGGAGGUGUUUUAAGGUGUACCAACUUUAUGCAGUAGGUCAAACCUUCAUGUUUGGUUCAGCAUCAUUUAUCAUGCGAAACCAAACUCCAGAGCAGCAGAGAUGGUGCCAGAGUGCUGACACACACCUCUGCUCUGCUUAGUGUGUGUGAGAGACAGAGAGAGAGGCCGUGUGUUCUCUGCUUGGCUGCCAUUUACAAACUCAAUUCACUCUGAUUUGAUUAAGCUGGUCUGAUGCUUGUCUGACAUCUGAGAUGACAUCCACUCCCUCUCUGUCCGCCUCUCAGAGACACAUGAGCUGCUGAAUUCAAUAUCCAGAGUUAUACAGGCUAAGGGCUAUUAACAGAAAGCUUUUAUGACUUUAUAAACUUGUCCUUCUUUUGUAAGCUUUCUUACAUGUUAUGUAAUUCAAACAAGAUGACACACAACUUGUGGGAAAACUGGCUCAUUGUAGUGACAAAUAAAAGAGUGUAUGGCAAAUAUAGUAAAGGAAAAUCAUAUGGAAAUAUUUCAAAACUAAAAUGCGUUAAAAAGAAAGUAUGAGUGAACAGUGAGGGGAAAAUACGGGCUGCAGUAAAGAGGGAGGGGUGGACUUUCAGAGUGAUUGACAGUGUGGAGGAGGAAGGGCACUGUGAAGAAAUCUCAAAGCAUCCUCCAAUUCCUGAGUCAAACCUCUGGAAAAUCUCGUCUCCUCCAACCUCACUUCUCCACAUUAAAUCUGACCAGCUGUUUACAGCUAGCGGUCCUUCUCAUCCCGCUGCACACCUUCUUCACACUGCCUCCUUUGUAGUUUGUUAUCACUUCUUGAGAUGAGAUGGGUGUUGUCUCUGUUCAUUAUUUCAGUCUACCUUUGGACUCACAUGAGUUCCUGUCAGGUUUUUAAUGCAUAUUUUCACGGAUUUAAAGUCCAUUUAUAAUCCAGGGUGUUGUGUUUGUCUUGUAUGAUUUUCUCCUCCUUUUCCCUGAGGAUACACAAGUCUUGAGAGCCCAGAAAAUGAGAUCUGUCAGUUGACAAAACAAUCUCACCACAAAAUCCACUCAAGGUCCACGCUGUUCUACAGCUUUCUGCUUUCUACAUUUUCCUCAGCAGGUAGAGUUGCCCUGCUGUCCAUGGAUUUUCAGAUGAACACUUUAGGGACUUCUUGUCCUUGUUGGUAAGGCUGCAAUUUAAGAUUAUUUUCAUUAUCGAUUAAUCGUUUGUAAACUGUGAAAAGUUUCAGAGUCCAAGGAGACAUCAUCAAAUGUCUUGUUUUAAUCAGUUUACUAGCUGGAACUAGGCAAUGUUUAGCAUUUUUGCUUGAAAAUUGACUUGUUGAAUUUACUGUUGAUCAACUAAUCGAUUAAUCAACUAAUCGUUUCAGCUCUACAUGUUGGCUUAAAGAUUGAGACUGAAAGUUCAUUCUGGACGUUGGAAACAGCAGUUGUGAAACUUGUGAAACUGAUGGGUGUCAUAGUUUGGAGUUUUGUCCUGUUUCCUGUUUAAUUUUGUAGUGUUCUCCUCUCCUCGUGUGUCUUGUGGUUUUACUUCCUGUCUUUGUUUGCUUUCCCUCCAGUUUGGAUUGUUGGCCCCGCCUUGAGUGGUUGCACCUGUGUCUUGUUGUCUCCCCUACCUAAGUGUAUUUAGUCUGGGUUUUUUUCAUUGGUUCAGUGUCAGUUUGUCUUUGUGAGUUGUGUGUUAAGUGUUUUAGGUCUUCACCAGUGUUUCCUUGCUUGUUUACUGUGUACCUUGGAUUUUCUUCCCCCUCAUGGAUUUAUGUUACCUGUUUACUAUCUGCCUUCCUGCCUGUUACCUGUUUGCUGCUUGUCUACCUGCCUGCACCCCUGCCAACCAGUGUACCUGCCUGCCUAUCUACCUGUAUCUGCCAGUUGUCACUAGGCCUCACCCUGUACAAUGCAGGCUCCCAGAUAUGCAGCUUCAGCAAAAGGACAGAGGAGACGACCGUGGUAGAUAUCUCUCUUCAGCUGGAGGUACAGAAGGAGACGAGAAGUGACAGUGGUGCUGAACCUAUAGGGACUUGUGUUGCCAUGGAUCCAGAUGAGUUUCCAGAGGAGACGAAAACACCUCACCAGUCAACUGACUCAUUAAACUUGUUUUCUAACUCAAGCGAAAGAAGCAGCAGAAGGAAAGCAUGAAAGAUUGAAUGGAGUGAAAAGCCUGCUGCUGUAGCUAAAUAGUUAUAUUUAUAGAGUCAGUCUGUAGCUGCAUGGAGGUUCUUCAAAUUGGCCUAAAAAACACAUCUAUCUAUAUUUACAUGACCUUCUCAGUUGUGGUUAAUUUUGUAUUCCUUUACUUCCUCGUCGCAUGCAGAGAUUCCUCCUAUCUCUGUCUUCUUCUAUUUCCUUCCCUGAACUCUUGUCUCGAUGUUACAGUCACAGUAUCUUUUACAUGCUUCUUGUUUUAUGUCACAAGAAGUUCAGUCUGUCCUUCGUCUGUAUCUCCUCUGUGUAUACAAAGUCACUUUUCUGAUUUAAUCAAUGAACAGAGUAUAUAUAGAAUCAGCUGUCAUAAUGACUACAUAAUGCUGAGUCUCAUAAAAUGUAUUCCAACUUUCUCUAAUUUGACCCCUUUUCUGUCUCCACUCGUGACUUUGAAAAAACGCUUUUUUUCCUUCCUCUCUACUUUAGUCUCUUCUGCUCCCACUCUGUGUUUUAUUAUUCACAUUCUCAUGUGCUGUAUGAGGUUUCAUUUGUGUAGGUCAGAUGUGCUUUGACUGUACAUGGGAUCAUCAAGCAGGUUACGUUUAUGCAGAACACUUUUACAGCUGAGCUAAUGGUCAAUUCUUCCAAAUAAGAAACUGGCAGAUUUUUUUUCAAUCUUAUCACCAGGCAAAAACAUCAAUUUUUGACAAUUCUGUAAAACCUUGGAUUACAUUCAAAGUGGAUGUUUUUAAAAUUCUUGCUUUCUGCAACAUUUGUGCAUGGAAACUGGUUUAUGUUAGGUAAAGAUUGUGGUUAUGGUUAAUAAAAAGGCAAAGGCAUUUGUAAGUGAUGAGACUUGAACUGCAAUCUCCUGCAUGAAUGUCAGACCUCUUCAACCAUACUUUCUGCCACUCUAUAUAAAAAGUACACUACUACUUGUGAGGUGCAGAAUUACCUAAUCUGGAUGUGAUUCCUAAGAAUACUGGGUUGUUUUUUUCAUCUCUUUGAUAUUUGGAGGGGGAAAGUAAAGUUGAGGAGAAAAAUGGCAGACUUCAAAUAACAUCCUGCAAACUGGAGCACAUGCAGCACACACACAUUAGCAUAAUCGUUUUUGGAUUUUGAUGAUGAAAAUCCCUACCAAAUAAACUUGAUAUUGAUCGCUCCAUUGGAUUUCAUCUCUGACUGCAAUUCCUUCUGAACUUUCAAAACUGAACUUUAACUAUGUCCACUCCAAACUCAUCAGUAGACUGUUUUUAGACAAGCUAAUCAACAGAAAUGGACAUGAGGACUACAUAAAAAUGCAGUCCCUUCAAAUUGUUGAAAUGCAAGCAGAGGGAAGUAAAAAAAGAUGAUAAAUGAAAAAUCUAGAGAGACAACAAAAGCUGAAGGAGAACUCAAGGAAGGAGGAAGCUGAGAAACAGAGAGGAAAGUUUUUAUGACAUUGAUGAUGCACAAAAACACCUUUAAGUAAUAAAAGUUGCAGAGGACAGGGAGACAUGCCAAUAUGAGUUGAGAGAUGUGGAGAGACACCUGAGGGAGGAGAGCGAGCUGUGAUUAUGGGGAGGAAGAAGGAGGACAGAGAGAGACCAACAGACAGGAGGGAGGAGACACCUGAGGGGUGAAAUUAUGGAGUGACAGAGUGGAGAAAUCUGAAAAGGAUGGACGAGAGAGAGGGAGCAAGAUGGAAAAGCAGGGAUAGAAGGAGGGAAGAGAGAAAUGGUGAUCUUUAGAGAGGAGCAGAGAUGGUGAGACAUUACAGCUCAGAUGGGAUGGAGAACACGAAAACAGAGUCCCUGCUGAGUGAGCAUCUCUAAUUAUCACUAUGCCUGAGAGAAGGUGUGUGUGUGUGUGUGUAUUUUUGGGGGGAGGAAGGAGAGGGGGGAUAUUAUAACGUUUGUAUACCAGAUUUUCCACAAGUUGGACUAUAGCGCAGUUAUUAAAGCAGAAAUGUAUUUUUUUUCGUUACAUCUACCAAACAAAGGUUGUUUUAAUAAAGUGCAUAUAUGCAUCUGCAAUGCAAUAUAUAUCACUAAGCAGCCUAUUACUGAAAAAAGGUACAUAGGUGAUAGCCAGCCAGCAGCCAUUUUAAGCUCUAACGCUCAUUACACACUGGAAAACAAAAUUGUUGGAUUGAUGAAAAAUUGAAAGACAACUUUCCUAUAGCAUAUUCACAUGCAAUCCCCAUAAGUAUGCGUUGCCAAAGUCA
Long non-coding RNA from Siniperca chuatsi (mandarin fish), 4562 nucleotides. RefSeq lists it as uncharacterized. The record is from RefSeq and is a predicted model, not a curated record. NCBI's taxonomy places the organism in Eukaryota, Metazoa, Chordata, Actinopteri, Centrarchiformes, Sinipercidae. The transcript is spliced from 3 exons.